CUGGGCCUACGGGGGGCAGCAGUGGGGGAUAUUGCACAAUGGGGGGAACCCUGAUGCAGCGACGCCGCGUGGGUGAGGGAGCGUUUCGGCGCGUAAAGCCCUAUCGGCAGGGAAGAAGGAGGACGGUACCUGACUAAGAAGCCCCGGCUAACUACGUGCCAGCAGCCGCGGUAAUACGUAGGGGGCAAGCGUUAUCCGGAUUUACUGGGUGUAAAGGGGGCGCAGAAGGCAGCG
RNAcentral lists this ribosomal RNA (234 nucleotides) under uncultured bacterium. RNAcentral's name for it is "partial 16S ribosomal RNA". It matches the Rfam family "Bacterial small subunit ribosomal RNA", at positions 331 to 583 of the family's 1533-position model. The record is from RNAcentral.